UACGUAGGGGGCUAGCGUUGUCCGGAAUCAUUGGGCGUAAAGCGCGUGUAGGCGGCUCGGUAAGUCCGCUCUGAAAGUCCAGGGCUCAACCCUGGGAUGCGGGUGGAUACUGCCGGGCUCGAGUCCGGAAGAGGCGAGUGGAAUUCCCGGUGUAGCGGUGAAAUGCGCAGAUAUCGGGAGGAACACCAAUGGCGAAGGCAGCUCGCUGGGACGUGACUGACGCUGAGGAGCGAAAGCCAGGGGAGCAAACGGG
This 253-nucleotide ribosomal RNA is filed under the name uncultured bacterium. RNAcentral describes it as "partial 16S ribosomal RNA". It matches the Rfam family "Bacterial small subunit ribosomal RNA", at positions 524 to 776 of the family's 1533-position model. The record is from RNAcentral.